RNAcentral lists this ribosomal RNA (309 nucleotides) under Triticum aestivum (bread wheat). Its description in RNAcentral is "partial small subunit ribosomal RNA". The record is from RNAcentral. Lineage: Eukaryota; Viridiplantae; Streptophyta; Magnoliopsida; Poales; Poaceae.
AUGCCAAUUAUGAAGUUAUGCUUUGCCAUCUACACUGCCCCUGCCAAAGGAGAUUUUGUAAGCAAGAGCCUGAAGGGUACUACAGGCCUGCCACAGUCUGCUCUUAUGCUUCAUCAAUGGAUUUGUGUAGAAAUGAGCAACAGGAUACUGCCAGAGUUUCUGGUUGAGAUCAGCGCGGAAAGGCUAAUCCAAAUAGUGCAUCUUUUGGUUGGCCGGGAUCAUGGCCCGGUCCAUGCUAGUGCCAGAAAACGCGAGGUAGGCAACUGGAGGCAACGAGGACACGGUGGAGGCCUACAUCUCUCCAGCUAA